UCGAACGGAGCGAAUGAAAGCUUGCUUUUAUAAGCUUAGUGGCAAACGGGUGAGUAACACGUAGACAACCUGCCGACAGGAUGGGGACAACAUUCCGAAAGGAAUGCUAAUACCGAAUGAAGCGCAGGAGAGGCAUCUCUCCUGCGUGAGAGAUGGCCUCUAUAUAUAAGCUAUCACCUGUUGAUGGGUCUGCGUCUGAUUAGCUGGUAGGUGAGGUAACGGCUCACCUAGGCGACGAUCAGUAGCCGGUCUGAGAGGAUGAACGGCCACAUUGGGACUGAGACACGGCCCAGACUCCUACGGGAGGCAGCAGUGGGGAAUCUUCCGCAAUGGGCGCAAGCCUGACGGAGCAACGCCGCGUGAGUGAAGAAGGUCUUCGGAUCGUAAAGCUCUGUUGAUGGGGACGAACGUGCCUAAUGCGAAUAGUAUUAGGUAAUGACGGUACCCAUCGAGGAAGCCACGGCUAACUACGUGCCAGCAGCCGCGGUAAUACGUAGGUGGCGAGCGUUGUCCGGAAUCAUUGGGCGUAAAGGGAGCGCAGGCGGGCAUGUAAGUCUUUCUUAAAAGUGCGGGGCUCAACCCCGUGAUGGGAAAGAAACUAUGUGUCUUGAGUACAGGAGAGGAAAGCGGAAUUCCCAGUGUAGCGGUGAAAUGCGUAGAUAUUGGGAGGAACACCAGUGGCGAAGGCGGCUUUCUGGACUGCAACUGACGCUGAGGCUCGAAAGCCAGGGGAGCGAACGGGAUU
Molecule: ribosomal RNA, 745 nt
Filed under: uncultured Selenomonas sp.
Lineage: Bacteria; Bacillati; Bacillota; Negativicutes; Selenomonadales; Selenomonadaceae
Description: bacterial SSU rRNA
Rfam family: Bacterial small subunit ribosomal RNA
Source: RNAcentral